Molecule: non-coding RNA, 907 nt
Organism: Oryctolagus cuniculus (rabbit)
Lineage: Eukaryota; Metazoa; Chordata; Mammalia; Lagomorpha; Leporidae
Source: RefSeq, a predicted model, not a curated record
CCGGCCUCCACAGACAGCCUGAGGGGACGCCAGUCACCGCUGAACAGGGCGGGAAAAGGGAUUUAGAACUUUGUGUGGGCUUGCCACAGUGAGACCCAGUACCAGAUAAAAACCUAAGGCCUCUAUCCUUGUGACAGAGCAAAACGGAGCCUCCAACUCGGCCGGCAUCAGGCGCAGGCCAGUGCAUUGGUGGAGAUGGCGCCCAGGUGGGUCCCCAGGGCCUGCCUCCUCCUCGCAACUAGUAACCCUGAGAUCCAGCUUUGUGUCAGCCUGAAUGGCCAAGGACCCACCUCCAGCGACUGUCCCCUCAUAUCAGGCUGAUACUGAGGAGAGUCGGAUGUCAGUCACAGCAGGAGAUGGACUUCCUUUAUUGCUUCUUGUGGCACAGAUCUGAUGUUGAAUUUUUUGGCCAUGAUGGACGCAACGGCCAGAGCUGCACAGAUCUGAAGCCAGGAGCCAGGAGCUUCCUCCUGGUAUCUCACGCGGGUGCAGAGACCCAAGCGCUUGGACCUUCUUCUACUGCUUUCCCAGGCCACAGCAGAGAGCUGGAUUGGAAGAGGAGCAGCUGGGACUAGAACCUGUUCCCUUGUGGGAUGCUGGCGCUUCAGGCCAGGGAUUUAAUCUGCUGCGCCACAGUGCCAGCCUCUCAUUUAUUUCUUUGAGUGAAGGGAAAUGUGCUUUCUGCUGAUAAUACGACUGAGAUGUGAUGCAGGUGAGCUCGUGACUCUUUUUUAACCUUUUAAGUUCCAAUGUAAAUGAUUUUGACAACAAGCUGACGUUUCAGAAAAUAUUAAGGCACCAUGAGGGCUUUUCUUAACUCCUGGUAAAUUCCUGUUUUUAUAUGAGGGUACAUGAAGGGCAAAAAGGCACCAAAAACCUUUCUUUUAAUAAACUCCGAUUAACUCAG